Molecule: long non-coding RNA, 231 nt
Filed under: Elaeis guineensis (African oil palm)
Lineage: Eukaryota; Viridiplantae; Streptophyta; Magnoliopsida; Arecales; Arecaceae
Description: long non-coding RNA (EGUI_LNC027948)
Source: RNAcentral
CCCCUACUCUCAAGCUUGAGCUUAAAUAAGAUCGGUUGAAGAAAGUAUCAAUCCGAGGUCGAGGCCACUUUUGUUGAGCUAUUUUCAGUUGACACAUGCUGAAGAUCGACGUCGUGUGGCAAAUCAUCUCCACAUCUGGGUCGUUGGAUCCUUGGAUCCAUGUGAGUUCUAUCUUGACCAAUCGUGGGUUGCAACUUGGCAUAGAUUGAUUGGGGGUGGUGAUUCGUCAGU